GGACUGACUAUAUGACGAGAGGUGAUUCCAAACAAAACAUGGAUAUCACAUCAACCACACUGGCGCUGUUGUGUCUCGUCGCACCAGGUUUGUCCCUGAAGUGUCCGUCGUGUGAUCAGGUUGACAACAUCCACGAGUGCACGCAGGUCAAACAAUGUCACAGCACUGAGCAGAUGUGUCUGGUGACCUUGAACCGGUGGAGAGUGACCUCCAGGUGUUCAACAGUUAAC
Molecule: long non-coding RNA, 230 nt
Organism: Gigantopelta aegis
Lineage: Eukaryota; Metazoa; Mollusca; Gastropoda; Neomphalida; Peltospiridae
Exons: 3
Source: RefSeq, a predicted model, not a curated record